AGAGUUUGAUCAUGGCUCAGGACGAACGCUGGCGGCGUGCUUAACACAUGCAAGUCGAACGGAAAGGCCCUUCGGGGUACUCGAGUGGCGAACGGGUGAGUAACACGUGGGUGAUCUGCCCUGCACUUUGGGAUAAGCCUGGGAAACUGGGUCUAAUACCGAAUAGGACCACGCGCUUCAUGGUGUGUGGUGGAAAGCUUUUGCGGUGUGGGAUGGGCCCGCGGCCUAUCAGCUUGUUGGUGGGGUAAUGGCCUACCAAGGCGACGACGGGUAGCCGGCCUGAGAGGGUGUCCGGCCACACUGGGACUGAGAUACGGCCCAGACUCCUACGGGAGGCAGCAGUGGGGAAUAUUGCACAAUGGGCGCAAGCCUGAUGCAGCGACGCCGCGUGGGGGAUGACGGCCUUCGGGUUGUAAACCUCUUUCAGUAUCGGCGAAGCUCCAGGAUUUUUCUUGGGGUGACGGUAGGUACAGAAGAAGCACCGGCCAACUACGUGCCAGCAGCCGCGGUAAUACGUAGGGUGCGAGCGUUGUCCGGAAUUACUGGGCGUAAAGAGCUCGUAGGUGGUUUGUCACGUUGUCUGUGAAAACUCACAGCUUAACUGUGGGCGUGCGGGCGAUACGGGCAGACUGGAGUACUGUAGGGGAGACUGGAAUUCCUGGUGUAGCGGUGGAAUGCGCAGAUAUCAGGAGGAACACCGGUGGCGAAGGCGGGUCUCCGGGCAGUAACUGACGCUGAGGAGCGAAAGCGUGGGGAGCGAACAGGAUUAGAUACCCUGGUAGUCCAA
RNAcentral lists this ribosomal RNA (787 nucleotides) under uncultured bacterium. RNAcentral describes it as "bacterial SSU rRNA". It matches the Rfam family "Bacterial small subunit ribosomal RNA", at positions 8 to 798 of the family's 1533-position model. The record is from RNAcentral.